GUACACGCCGUAAACGAUGUCUACUUGGAGGUUGUGGCCUUGAGACCGUGGCUUUUCGGAGCUAAACGCGUUAAGUAGACCGUCUGGGGAGUACGGUCGCAAGAUUAAAACUCAAAUGAAUUGACGGGGGCCCGCACAAGCGGUGGAGCAUGUGGUUUAAUUCGAUGCAACGCGAAAGAACCUUACCUACUCUUGACAUCCAGAGAACUUUCCAGAGAUGGAUUGGUGCCUUCGGGAACUUUGAGACAGGUGCUGCAUGGCUGUCGUCAGCUCGUGUUGUGGAAUGUUGGGUUAAGUCCCGCAACGAGCGCAACCCUUAUCCUUGUUUGCCAGCACGUAAUGGUGGGAACUCCAGGGAGACUGCCGGUGAUAAACCGGAGGAAGGUGGGGACGACGUCAAGUCAUCAUGGCCCUUACGAGUAGGGCUACACACGUGCUACAAUGGCGUAUACAGAGGGCUGCCAACCAGCGAUGGUGAGCGAAUCCCAGAAAGUACGUCGUAGUCCGGAUUGGAGUCUGCAACUCGACUCCAUGAAGUCGGAAUCGCUAGUAAUCGUGAAUCAGAAUGUCACGGUGAAUACGUUCCCGGGCCUUGUACACACCGCCCGUCACACCAUGGGAGUGGGCUGCACCAGAAGUAGAUAGCUUAACCUUCGGGAGGGCGUUUACCACGGUGUGGUUCAUGAGCUGGGGUGAAGUCGUAACAAGGUAACCAAGGG
RNAcentral lists this ribosomal RNA (719 nucleotides) under Photobacterium profundum. Its description in RNAcentral is "bacterial SSU rRNA". It matches the Rfam family "Bacterial small subunit ribosomal RNA", at positions 793 to 1506 of the family's 1533-position model. The record is from RNAcentral. Lineage: Bacteria; Pseudomonadati; Pseudomonadota; Gammaproteobacteria; Vibrionales; Vibrionaceae. RNAcentral also lists the same sequence under 1 other name.